Molecule: ribosomal RNA, 422 nt
Filed under: uncultured Ruminococcus sp.
Lineage: Bacteria; Bacillati; Bacillota; Clostridia; Eubacteriales; Oscillospiraceae
Description: bacterial SSU rRNA
Rfam family: Bacterial small subunit ribosomal RNA
Source: RNAcentral
UGGGGGAUAUUGCACAAUGGAGGGAACUCUGAUGCAGCGAUGCCGCGUGAGGGAAGAAGGUUUUCGGAUUGUAAACCUCUGUGGAGGGGGACGAUAAUGACGGUACCCCUUUAGGAAGCCACGGCUAACUACGUGCCAGCAGCCGCGGUAAUACGUAGGUGGCGAGCGUUGUCCGGAAUUACUGGGUGUAAAGGGAGCGUAGGCGGGAAGGCAAGUCAGAAGUGAAAAUUAUGGGCUUAACCCAUAACCUGCUUUUGAAACUGUUUUUCUUGAGUGAGGCAGAGGCAAGCGGAAUUCCUAGUGUAGCGGUGAAAUGCGUAGAUAUUAGGAGGAACACCGGUGGCGAAGGCGGCUUGCUGGGCCUUUACUGACGCUGAGGCUCGAAAGCGUGGGGAGCAAACAGGAUUAGAUACCCUGGUAGU